CCUACGGGCGGCAGCAGUGAGGAAUAUUGGUCAAUGGACGAGAGUCUGAACCAGCCAAGUAGCGUGAAGGAUGACUGCCCUCUGGUUUGUAAGCUUCUUUUAUAUGGGAAUAAAAUGUUACACGUGUGGGAUUUUGUAUGUACCAUAUGAAUAAGGAUAGGCUAACUCCGUGCCAGCAGCCGCGGUAAGACGGAGGGUGCGUGCGUUGAUCGGAAUUACUGUGCGUAAAGCGCUCGUAGGCGGAAUGUCAGGUCAAGGGUGAAAUCCCCGCGCUUAACGUGGGAAUUGCCUUUGAUACUGGUAAACUGGAGUGUGGUAGAGGAUAGUAGAAUUCCAGGUGUAGGAGUGAAAUCCGUAGAGAUCUGGAGGAACAUCAGUGGCGAAGGCGACUACCUGGCACAUGACUGACGCUGAGGAGCGAAAGCGUGGGUAGCAAACAGGAUUAGAUACCCGGGUAGUC
RNAcentral lists this ribosomal RNA (460 nucleotides) under uncultured bacterium. Its description in RNAcentral is "partial 16S ribosomal RNA". It matches the Rfam family "Bacterial small subunit ribosomal RNA", at positions 338 to 795 of the family's 1533-position model. The record is from RNAcentral.